GUGCUUGCUUCAUCAGCACGUAUACAGAGAUUAGCAUGGCCUCUGUGCAAAGAUAGCACACAAAUUCGUGAAGUGUUCCAUAUUGUU
Molecule: small nuclear RNA, 87 nt
Filed under: Peromyscus maniculatus bairdii (prairie deer mouse)
Lineage: Eukaryota; Metazoa; Chordata; Mammalia; Rodentia; Cricetidae
Source: RNAcentral